Molecule: ribosomal RNA, 263 nt
Filed under: uncultured Lactobacillus sp.
Lineage: Bacteria; Bacillati; Bacillota; Bacilli; Lactobacillales; Lactobacillaceae
Description: partial 16S ribosomal RNA
Rfam family: Bacterial small subunit ribosomal RNA
Source: RNAcentral
AUGAUGCAUAGCCCGAGUUGAGAGACUGAUCGGCCACGAUUGGGGACUGAGACACGGCCCAAACUCCUACGGGAGGCAGCAGUAGGGAAUCUUCCACAAUGGACGCAAGUCUGAUGGAGCAAACGCCGCGUGAGUGAAGAAGGGUUUCGGCUCGUAAAGCUCUGUUGUUGGUGAAGAAGGACAGGGGUAGUAACUGACCCUUUGUUUGACGAUAAUCAAUUAGAAAGUCACGGGCUAACUACGUGCCAGCAGCCGCGGUAAAU